CGGGGUGUAGUGAAAAGGCAUCAUGCUGGUUUUGGGUACCAGUGGUUCCGGUUCGAGUCCGGGCUCCCCGAC
RNAcentral lists this transfer RNA (72 nucleotides) under Mycobacterium phage ET08. RNAcentral describes it as "tRNA-Pro". It matches the Rfam family "tRNA". From Rfam's summary of the family: Transfer RNA (tRNA) molecules are approximately 80 nucleotides in length. Their secondary structure includes four short double-helical elements and three loops (D, anti-codon, and T loops). Lineage: Duplodnaviria; Heunggongvirae; Uroviricota; Caudoviricetes. RNAcentral also lists the same sequence under 6 other names. The record is from RNAcentral.